GGUAGUAAUUUAUAAGGGCGUGGAGGGAGUUUGUUGAAUUCUGUUACCGUCGGAGUCGGACUCUAUCUCUAUCUCCAAAAGUCCGUUCUAAUCUAAUCUCUUCGUGCGUCGUCCUAAUCAGCGCGAGCCGCAGCCCCCGCUGACGCGAAUCGCGACCUCCGCGCGACCCUCCGCUGACCCGGUCUCCCUGCCGCCUGGAGCGAUGAAACCGCACCCUCGCGCCCAAGCCCAGACUCAAAACUCAGCCAAACCCUUCGCAUCUUCCUGUGGUGGCGUCCUCCUCCAACGUUGGUCCGUGUUUGUCUCCAUGGCGCUCUCGAAUGCCUAAGCCAAGGCCGACCGCGUCGAGCUGGUGCUGCAGGUGCUCGACGAAACGCCCCGCAGGACCGAGUUCUCGUAGACCAUGCUCGUCGAUUCUCUGGCGAGGGCCGGCCGACAGCACGACGCAUUCUGCCUCUCCGCGGAGAUGCGGGCCUCCAGCGUGGCCUGCGACUCCCACGUCUGCGUAUGUCACUACGGGAAGAGCUACAUAUUCAUCGUAAAUUAUGUGGAAAGGAUGUACAAGCAAGCUGCCCUUGUGCAGACAGACUCAGAGGUGUAGAGAAGACAUGGUGUCCGCUGAGGAUUGCAAGAUCCAUUGCUGCAUAGGCUGAUGUAUGCGGCACACCAUCAGGAGCAGACUGAUCCCGCACACAUAAGUGCACGCUUUGCAGAUUUUAUCCUGGGAAUUCUGAAUUUGGCUUGCCCUUUGCGGAUUUUCAAGUGGUGUGUGCUAUUUGUGGAUAGGUUUGGUGCUGCGAACAGUGUGUUAGAACCAAAUUCUUGUCAGGCUAAACCGAUUUAUAUCAUAGAUGCAGGUGAUUUUUUUUCUUAUGAUUAUGAUCUUAAAUGGGAUUUAGUUGGACCGUGCUAUUCUGCUAUAACUGUAAAGUUAGGGUGCCGAAUAGUUGAUGCACCUGCUUCAUCAUCUAGAAAAAAGAAAUAAAGGAGAUUUUUGACGAGUUUCAUUUUUUUAUGGAACCUUUGUUGGUGGCUCGAGCAACAUAUAAAGGCGAUCAUCACUUCCGAUGAGUUGAGUUUUAUUGCUUACUAUUUCCUUCCUUCCGAUUCUUAGCUGCUAGGAGCUUUCAAGUUGUUCCCUCCCAUAAUCUAGAGUAAUUACAGAUCUGUACACGUUAUAUAAGCAAUUUCCCUUAUGCAAACCUGGAUGAUUAGUUAUGUAUAUAGAAUUUUGAAGAGAAAAUAUAUUUUUUCGAAUA
Molecule: long non-coding RNA, 1259 nt
Organism: Zea mays
Lineage: Eukaryota; Viridiplantae; Streptophyta; Magnoliopsida; Poales; Poaceae
Exons: 3
Source: RefSeq, a predicted model, not a curated record